AAACAAGAGAUGGAGAGAAAGGAACCUCAUUUCCUUCCUUCCCCUCGAAGGCAGCCCAGCUCUUCCUGUUCGGCUCCUCUCACACGCAUCCUUUCCUUCCUCUCUCGUCCCCUCCCUGGUGCUCCGCCGCCGCCUUCUUUCUCCACCAAAUCUACCCCGUCCCAUCAUCCUCAUCCACGGCCAUCGAGUGAAGGAGCCUGAGCAGGUGAGGGGGUGGCUCUGGGAGUCGGCGGUCUCUCCAGAGCGGUCGAGAGGCGUUGGGUCAAAGGCGUCGUGCCUCGAUGGCCGGGAUCGGGCAAGUCAGAUGGGAAGCAGCGAUGCCGGAAAUUGUUCGCUGCGCCUCCACCUUGUCCCCAGCCCUUCUACGAGCACUUUCUCUUGUCCACGGGAGCCCCCUUUCCACCGAGCUCCAGAUCCAUGACACUAGCAGCGAGGUGAGCAGCGGCAAAGGCUACCACCUAGCAACUCCUCUUUCCUCGUCUUUCAUCCUCUCCAACCCGUCUGGAGGUAUGCCCACUCUUCUUCUCUUCUUCUUUUAUACAGCAAAGAGGAUAGGCGCAAAUCUGAAGAUAGUAGUUUAGUUUUUAUUUUAUUUUGUAUUGUUUCUCCAUCCUACAAAAUUGCAACUUGUGUUUCUAUGGAAGCAAUAUUUUCAUCUUAUAUCAAUUUAGAUAGGCUACAUGGGGACCUUUUGUUCUGACCAGAGUUGAUGAUUUGCCUCAGGAUACAGUUGAUGAUGUAGUUGAAGAUGAAUGGGUUCUUACUAAGAUACAUCUGUAUAUGUAUGUGGUUUCUUUGCUUCGGUUGAAGAUAUAUGUGUGGCUUAAAGAUAUAUCUGAAGUUAAAUUUCCAAGACAUACCAUCCGUCAGUGAUUAUGUAUUAAUGAUUGUUGGGAACUCCUAUCUUACUGGGAUGUGAAAUACAAUGAUGUCAGUAUGUAUAAGCUUUGUCAAUUCCACUUUAUCUCGAGGAACCGCGAGAAAUGUAGUGUACAAAUGAGUUCAUGGCUUUGCAAGGCAUAUAAAUUUUAGGUGUCCAAUCUUUUCACUUAGUGUAUGUUGUUCCCGUAUGUAGACUUCCUUUUUGAUGAUAUUUCAAAAAUAUGUUGAACAUGGUUGUAAGUGAACAAAUUCUUAUGGAAUAUGAAUAUAAAGUUUUGCCUGCUCUUUUUUGGAUGUUUUUUUUUCUGAAUGAAGUUUGUCAAGUGUGAAAAUGGCCGCACCUGAGACAUAAUGAAGCGCUUCAGCAAUACAAGUGUGCCACAAGCACGCCUGACAGAGGGAGCGGGGAAGGCAGGGGAGGUGGGGAGGGGCGCACCAGAUCGGACAACUUGAUGAGGCCCUCCAGACGGGAGUCGUUCUUGACGUUGAGGCAACGGAAGGAGAUGCAGCCGGCGAGGUUGGGGGGGUGGGUAGAUGAGGUGGUCGACGUCGAGGACGGAGUACGGAGUCUCGGCCAUGAGCUUCUCGUAGCGGGGGGAGGAGAUGAACCCAUCGGCCCCGAACACGGCGUCCAGAUCCAGCCUGCCGCCGUUGGCGGGCAUCAUGUAAAUGUAUCUCCACUACUACACAGCCGGCCUGUCAGGUUGCACCUAAGUCCCUAAGCCUAUAUAUACAUACACCUACCUUCUUCAACACACACAGCUAUUUAAGUUCUUCUCUCGAGUAUUUACAGAGACAGCACCAGGCUGUUCUUUUUUUUUGUAUACUGUCACUCCGUGUCGAAUAUCCAAUUUAACCAUGGGUAUGGGCCUGCAC
This 1758-nucleotide long non-coding RNA is filed under the name Triticum aestivum (bread wheat). Its description in RNAcentral is "long non-coding RNA (TAES_LNC023616)". Lineage: Eukaryota; Viridiplantae; Streptophyta; Magnoliopsida; Poales; Poaceae. The record is from RNAcentral.